This 70-nucleotide transfer RNA is filed under the name Calyptocephallela gayi (helmeted water toad). Its description in RNAcentral is "tRNA-Tyr". It matches the Rfam family "tRNA". Rfam says of the family: Transfer RNA (tRNA) molecules are approximately 80 nucleotides in length. Their secondary structure includes four short double-helical elements and three loops (D, anti-codon, and T loops). Lineage: Eukaryota; Metazoa; Chordata; Amphibia; Anura; Calyptocephalellidae. The record is from RNAcentral.
GGUAAAGUGGCCGAGGGUAAGGCGGCGGGUUGUAGCCCCGAACACAGAGGUUUAAGUCCUCUCUCUACCA